GACGAACGCUGGCGGCGUGCUUAACACAUGCAAGUCGAACGGAAAGGCUCUGCGGUGGGGGGGUGCUCGAGUGGCGAACGUGUGAGGAACACGUGAGUAACCUGGCCUUGACUUUGGGAUAACUUCAGGAAACUGGGGCUAAUACCUGAUAGGAGCUCCUGCUGCUUGGUGGGGGUUGGAAUGUUGCGGCGGGUGGGGAUGGACUCGCGGCUUAUCAGCUUGUUGGUGGGGUAGUGGCUUACCAAGGCUUUGACGGGUAGCCGGCCUGAGAGGGUGACCGGCCACACUGGGACUGAGAUACGGCCCAGACUCCUACGGGAGGCAGCAGUGGGGAAUAUUGCACAAUGGGCGGAAGCCUGACGCAGCAACGCCGCGUGCGGGAUGACGGCCUUCGGGUUGUAAACCGCUUUCGCCUGUGACGAAGCGUGAGUGACGGUAAUGGGUAAAGAAGCACCGGCUAACUACGUG
This 468-nucleotide ribosomal RNA is filed under the name uncultured bacterium. RNAcentral's name for it is "partial 16S ribosomal RNA". It matches the Rfam family "Bacterial small subunit ribosomal RNA", at positions 28 to 507 of the family's 1533-position model. The record is from RNAcentral.